Molecule: long non-coding RNA, 346 nt
Organism: Zingiber officinale
Lineage: Eukaryota; Viridiplantae; Streptophyta; Magnoliopsida; Zingiberales; Zingiberaceae
Exons: 3
Source: RefSeq, a predicted model, not a curated record
UCAACAAUGAAAGUGAUGGGGUGGAGUCAUCUUUCAUACCUUGAUGGAUUAAUGGAAUUACUAGUUCAAUGUCAAGUGCCCUUGAAGAUGAAGUGAGAACACCUUUUCCUAUCAUAAGAGAUACCCUUUAUGAAGAUCCUGCUUUUUUCAGGCAAAGGUUGAGGCAUCUCUUCGUGGCAAGUGGUUGCUAGUCAGUCAAAGAAUUUAGCUCGCAUAGGUGGACUUGAAUUAUUGUUCUUUGAUUUCACCAUUACAAAAUGAUGAUUUUUGAAGUAUUUCAUGUUAAAUCUCAACCAUGAUAAUGAUACAAGGGCAAACAAAGCUGUCGUAAAACUAUUUCAUUCUA